This 261-nucleotide ribosomal RNA is filed under the name uncultured archaeon. RNAcentral's name for it is "partial 16S ribosomal RNA". It matches the Rfam family "Archaeal small subunit ribosomal RNA", at positions 748 to 1008 of the family's 1478-position model. The record is from RNAcentral.
AGGGUGUAAACGCUGCAGACUUGGUGUUGGAAGUCCUUUGGGGGCAUUCAGUGCCGGAGAGAAGUUGUUAAGUCUGCUACUUGGGGAGUACGUCCGCAAGGAUGAAACUUAAAGGAAUCGGCGGGGGAGCACCGCAACGGGAGGAGCGUGCGGUUUAAUUGGAUUCAACACCGUAAAACUCACCAGGGAAGACUGUUACAUGAAAGCCGAGAUGAAGACUCUGCUAGAUUUUCAGAGAGGAGGUGCAUGGCGUCAGUGACU